This 447-nucleotide ribosomal RNA is filed under the name uncultured bacterium. RNAcentral's name for it is "bacterial SSU rRNA". It matches the Rfam family "Bacterial small subunit ribosomal RNA", at positions 331 to 792 of the family's 1533-position model. The record is from RNAcentral.
CCAGACUCCUACGGGAGGCAGCAGUGGGGGAUAUUGCACAAUGGGGGAAACCCUGAUGCAGCGACGCCGCGUGAGUGAAGAAGUAUUUCGGUAUAUAAAGCUCUAUCAGCAGGAAAGAAAGAAAUGACGGUACCUGACUAAGAAGCCCCGGCUAACUACGUGCCAGCAGCCGCGGUAAUACGUAGGGGGCAAGCGUUAUCCGGAUUUACUGGGUGUAAAGGGAGCGUAGACGGCGAAGUAAGCCUGAAGUGGAAGCCCGCGGCCCAACCGCGGAACUGCUUUGGGAACUGUUUUGCUGGAGUAUGGGAGGGGUAAGCGGAAUUCCUGGUGUAGCGGUGAAAUGCGUAGAUAUCAGGAGGAACACCGGUGGCGAAGGCGGCCUGCUGGACUGCAACUGACGUUGAGGCCCGAAAGCGUGGGGAGCAAACAGGAUUAGAUACCCCCGUA